CCCCCCCCCCCCCCGAUUACAACAUAGUAGUAUGGGAAUACUUUAAAAUAUAAAUUUAAAUACUUCCACUGAAACAGCUUGUGAGACAAUCUCCUGCUAACCUCUCUGGGACAUAUUUCACUUUAAAAGAAGUGGAGGCAUGAUUUGUGUGGCUCUUGGGGCUUCAGCAUGUUCAUGUUACAUGGAAGCAAGAAGGAGGUAAGCCCUGAAGUAUGAGAGAAGGCAUUUAGCUCCAUGUGAUGCGGACCCUCAUUCCUUUAGGACUAGGAGUCAGCCGCCUUGCUGAGCGAAUGUUUCCAAAGAAUUUAAAAUGGUCUGUAUCUUAAUAUUGAAAUGCAGCAGAAGUGAUAAAAUGUACCUUGAAGAUGACUCAAUCCAGUGAGCUACUCUGCGUAUUUUUGUAUUGAAGGUGAUUCAUUAGUGCCAUCUUCAGCAGGAGGAAUAAAACAAAAAAAAAAUCAAAAGAACUAGUUAAAGCAGCUGGGAAAAUCAAGGGAGCUUAAUUACUUCAGAGUACCAGCACAGUCAGCUACCAGCAAACAGCAUGACCAUAAGGCCUGUGUUGUGACUAUCUGCAUAUAAACAACCACAAAGUUCCUGCGAUGCGAGAUAUUAGAAGGCAGCAUCUGUGUUUCUUUGAUGUUGCUUUUAUGUUUCAAAUGAGAAAGCUUGCUUGUGCUAUAAUGUGAGUUGAGAGAGAGGGGGAGAAGGAAGUUUACGUAAGAGAAAAAUCGUCAAUCCAUUCCUUCUGGAGGCAAAACACAAUUAAGAUUGCUUUGUUUCUCUAAAGUGGAGAAGGCAGAGGCUCUAGAAAUAAGAUUAAUUGGAGACUGAUCCCGGGUCUGUAGUAUCUUGUGUAGUGGUAGAAUUAGCAAUGUAGAAACCUUGUUGAUAGGUGAGUAGGUGACAUGAAUGAAUCAAACUCCUUACACAUAAUGGUAUUGUAUUAAAACAUAGGAAAUGUUAUCAAAUAUCAAUAGAGGAAGGGAGGUGAAUGGAAGUUGGAAGCCAAAAUUAAUGAAAUAUUCUCCUUAAAUCUCCACUAGGAGGUGCUGUUUCAAAAGGGAAGAGGAAAAAGAAAAUUGCACUGAAAGCACCACAGUUCCACAAGUGCACUUUGACAGAAGAACAACGUAACCUUCAUACCUGCCCAAUUUUGGUGGUAGAUUGUCAGACCAUAAAACCUGUAAGUUACCUGCUAAUGGGCUACGUUAUUCAAUGAGCUGCUUAAAAUGUUUAAUUUGGUCCACGGAUUUGUUUAAAAGGCUUUAUGCAGGGAUAUCAAUAGAUUACAGUAACUGGGUAGUUUCACUGUACAUAUGCGUAUUACUACAUAACCAUUCCCUACUGCAAAAGUCCCUGUAGUUGACAAGUUAUUUGACUGGACAAGUUACUGUUCUGUUUCCUGAUAUAGGUAAAUGCUUUUCUGUGGUAAUUUUUAGUGAAACAUCAGGAUAUGACAUCAGGAUAACAUUUGGUUCUGAUAAAUAUCAUAGGGUGAAAAUUUUGUGUUUUCUGAUUAACUCGAUACAUUGUAGAAAUCACGGGAAAAGAGCCCAGGACUGAUUUUUAUAUUCUGCUCAUUUUAAAUAUUAAGCCAUUUACUAAUCUGUAGUUCCAUAACUGGAACUGUUUUGCUGCUAUGAUUGUAUAUUUAACAUAUAUGGGGAAUUUUUUGCUAUAAAAUUGAGACCUGCAUUGCAUUAAUUUUAUUUCAAGUUCUGUGGAGCUUGAUAUAGUAGAGUAUAGCUAAAUAUAUUUUAAGAGAAAUGGUAGCUUUUUGUACAUCAAACAAAGGUAUGUCAUCAUGUUUUUCAUGUAGUUAAUUUCUCUGUUUUAAAGUAUCCACUUUUAGAGGUUUCUGAGUUCUAUAAUGCCAACUGUAGCAUUCGUUUCAAAGAAAAUCUGUCUGUUUGUCUUCUACUGAAUUCUGUCCAGUUAAAGUGUAUGAGUCCCUUGGGUUUUCUUCUGUUUAGGUUUGAGGGAGAAAAAAGAACAGAUUUUGCUUUUAAAAUUUUGGAAAUUGUUUUUUUUUAUGGAGAUCAGAGAAUACUCAGUGGUUUCUAGUAUUUUCCAGUGGGCUGGUUUUCGAAGGGGGAAAAAAAAAACCUCACCAAGAUAAUCUCUUCUGAACAGUGAAUUAUGCUGUGGAUUUUUUUUCAUGAAUGCAGUACAUACCAACUGAGUAUUGCAAUAGGGUUGUCGAAUUUAAUUCGUAGGUUGCUGAUCAGCUACCUGGAAAUAACUUGGUAUCCAACACUGAGGAAUAGCCUCUGCAUUUUCCAUAAUUUAAGUACUACUAAAAUAUUUUCAAUUAGUAGUAUUGCUGAUACUGAUCUCUGGUUGAAGAUGCUCUGCAAAGCUUAGUGUUUCCAGUGGAAUUAAGGAAAUAUUUCCCUGCUUUAGUUUUCCUUAGAGAGGCAAAUAAUAACCAUUAGGGGGCAGCUUAAGAUUUAAACUGGAAUGUACUAGCACUUUCAUACAGUGCUUAAAAUAAUCCAGGAAAACCAGCAGACCAGAAAAAGUGUGGGAAGCCGUGUAACUAGUGAACAUGGUACUAAAUACUCAGAGUAUAGCGACUAAGGUAGAAGGAGAAAAUACCCACAAAUUCUGUUGACUUCAGUCUGGUCUCAGCACUGCUAAAGACCAAGCCAACUUUAAGUGCUUAAUUUUGUUCCAUGUUACUGUGAGGGUGCUAAGUCAUAGGUCAGGGUUCAGUGUGCACAAACGCAAUCAGCUCUGCAGGCAUCCAUUUGUCUAGACAGGAUUAAUAGUGGUAGCUCAGUGUUGUCGCUCCAGACCUAGCACAGCCAACCUACAUGAAUGCCUCUUGUGCAGACAUGGCCUCCCACAGGCAGAAGUGCUGGUUAUUAGCUCCAGUUCUAGGCUCUCUGCGUGCUUGUGAUGCCCAGAGUGGUAAAUGCUCUGAAAGCCGGAGAGCGGAGGCUGUGCUGAAGCUGUCGAAGUGCCUGACCGAGCAGUCACUUCGCAGAACUGGCUGGAUGUCUGCUCACAGUGGUAGCUGGUGGUCAGGUGCUGAGGGUUUUGCGGUGGAGUUAUGGAGCGGCCAGUACACAGAGCUGGUGUGGCUUCAGACUCCGUUCCCCAUGAAAAGGGGCCCAAUUACUGGAUCAAAGAAGGUGCUAGGAGCAGCACAGCUGUGCUCCACUGUCUGAGCUAGUAACUCUGCUGAAGCCUGUGUACCUGCUGUGGGACAGGCACACUGGACAGCUGCGGGAUGAAUGAAUUUAACAGUAAAAUGCAAAACUUACAAGCCCUCCUAUUUCUCUGCAUCAGUUAAUACUAAUAUGAUGUCAGAUCAUGCCUAGGAAGGCCAAUAGACAUGGUACUACUAACUUCAUUUGGGGACUGAAUUUUGCUUCUAAAUAAACAUGUACAAAAUGUGUAAUUAUUUGAUUUAUCAGUUCCUCCUUUGUUCUUCAGCUCAAUCUCUGGGUCAGGCUUCAGACUUUUAUUACAACAGCUACUGAUACAGUAAGUGCUUCAAACAGUUCAGGUAAACAUGACAAACUGCUGUGGGGAAAAUGCAGCCAAAUUUCUUUGUAGCAUAAAUCCAUUCAAAAUCUUGUAGAUAAUGGAGGAAACAUGCAUAGUUUAAAAAUGUAACUUAUUUGCAAAUAUUGUUACAGAUUAUGGGGAGGAGAAUUUUCUGUUUUUACAAAGUUCCUUGACUUCACCUGAAAUAUUCUUUAACUAGUUAGAGAGCUUUCAUGCAUACAUAAACUUGUUUCUUCAAACUGAAGAAGCCACUGUUGAUUUCUAAAGCCAGAUGCAUUUUGGUCUAGCAUGCAGAAUAACAGUGAUGAAUAAAGCUUCCGCCUCCUCUUAAUAGACUUGUCUUCCAGACAUCACCUCUAAUUAGAAGGAAAACACACCACAGCCUACAUGUUUCCCCCUCUAUCUUGGGAACUAGAAUACAGUAAGCAAAUCAGAACUCUUCCUCUGAGUACCUUUUAUGCCAGUGAGCAGAGCUACUUAGCCAUGGGUAAGAAAUUUAACCUCAUCCAAGAAAAGGGUUGUGAGUGUCUUCAUUCCCAGAGGCCACUAGAGACUACACCCAUCUGAGUUUUAAAACUCCCUGGUGUCAUUUAACUAUCCAUCUUCUAGAUAGUGAAAAUGAGUAUCAAAGUCACCAGUCACCAAAACUGAAAAAUGCUGAAAGUUUUAUUGAUCAAAUAAGAGACAAAAUGAACAGGAAAACAGUCUUUUCCCUGUCACUAAGAUGUCUGGUAAGAAUAUUACAUCCAUAUAAAUGAUACGCAAUAAAACUUUCUCUAGCCACAAGAGUUAAGACCACCAGUAUAGCCACAGUGUUUUAUGGUUCUGUUUUCAGAGAGCCCUUACAACUUUGUCCAAAAUACCAAUUUUUGAUAGAACUCAUAAAUAUUUAUUUAUUUCCAUGACAUACAGAUUAUUUUACAUGGUCUUCCAUUUUCCCCCUUAAAUUGUAUCACUUAAAAAGUACAUACUAAGAUUUAAUUAUUUGGCUUUUACUUUUUAACAUUUAAGAAAUCAGAAAAGAUGAUAACAGAAACUGAAAUCGGAUAGCUUAAGAAGGAGCACAAGUUAGUCUGGGUAUGAUAUGAUUCCAGUUUUCCUAGGGGCUCUGCUUUCUUUUCCAAGUGAUCAUCUCUUUCUUCUGCUGCUUUUCCUCUGCUGGGAACUUUCUGCUCCAGGGGCUUCUGAAGUGCAUGCAUUCGUGCACUGGCAUUGUUCCACGUAAAUAUAGUUAUAACUGAUGCUUGUUCCAUUUUGGCAGGUCAGGGUCACCUCUCUUGUGUGGCUGCUGAGCUCCUGGCAACAGCUACAGUCAUGUUGCAUCUGGUUUGCUUCAAUGGAAUACCUAUGCCCCGCCAGAGAAAAAAAGCAUAUCCUCCCAUUAAAAACUGACACACAAAAAAACCCCUAUAACUUUUGGGUUUAUCUAUCUAUAUAUAACAGAAAAAAAUUUUUGUAUAUGUGUCUAUAAAUAUAUAUAUACACACACAAAUGAAUGUGGUUUUAAUAACCUAUCCCUUCAACAGUGAAACUAUUCUUGCUUCCAUUGAGUCUCAGAAUAAGCUCCAUUUUGCUUUAUAGGGCACCUGUUUGGAUCUGCUGUUAACAAUAGGUCAAAACCUGUUAUGUAUAUAUCUUUUUUUGUUGUUGUUUUUAUAUCUGGAGCUAUAAUUUUUGUUGCUGUUAAUGAGGUUUUUUUAGUUCUUUGUUAUCUUUCCUUUAUGCCAAAUUUAGUUCAUAGUGCAUAAUAGAAGACUGAGAAAAAUGAAAGCUGUAGACCAAUUGUUGGUAUGAAAUAAAACCGUCUUACUAAUCUA
Molecule: long non-coding RNA, 5336 nt
Organism: Dromaius novaehollandiae (emu)
Lineage: Eukaryota; Metazoa; Chordata; Aves; Casuariiformes; Dromaiidae
Exons: 2
Source: RefSeq, a predicted model, not a curated record